Long non-coding RNA from Capsicum annuum, 915 nucleotides. RefSeq lists it as uncharacterized. Lineage: Eukaryota; Viridiplantae; Streptophyta; Magnoliopsida; Solanales; Solanaceae. The record is from RefSeq and is a predicted model, not a curated record. The transcript has 3 exons.
CAUUUUCUAAUGUGGAUUCUUAACACGACUUCCACGUCUAAAUCUUUUUAAAUGGAACAUGAAUAAUAUAAAAUAGGAUUCAAUAUUAGUGAAUGAAAAAAAUUAGAUGGAAAUAUAACGAGGACGAAAUAUCUGUGAACAAAUAAUUAAGAUGAACUAGCUUUGAUACUAAAUUGAUAUUGGGUCUAUUAUUAUCCAAGUUCUUUUAUCAAUUGCCCAUCUCUUUUCUAAACGUAGGAUUCUUAACCGGAUGGGCAAUUAAUCUCUCUAUAAACUUGGACAAUACUCAUGGUGAUUUUUAAGGUUGAAUUAGGUCAAAAAUACAUUUCUCAACAUGGUACCAUAUGGGCAACUUGAUUUUGCAUGCUAUCUGUUUGAAGAUGGCCUUCAGUUAGUUCUGAAGUUUAUUUACUAGACCAAUUUUCAUGCCUGGUUCACUUUUUGAUGAAAAGCUUGGAACAAAAAAGAAUCUGAUCGUUGGAGAAAAGCGAAGAAGAUGGCAUUGAUGAAGCAGAUGAUGAUAACUAUAAGGAAGAACAUGAGGAGGAACGGAGAAAAAUGAAGAAGAACGCUUUGAAGAGCGGAUGAUGAUAACUCAUAAAGAAGAACAUGAGCAGGAACCUGUUGUACCAGAGGAAAAAGAGCCUGGUAAGUUAAAGUUUGUUCUCCCUCCCUAUGUAGCCUACUCUUUAUGAAUGGGACCUGUUAAUUUGGAUUCUAAAUUAGAGAAAUGAGCAUCCAACAUCUUAAAGUAGACAAAUUGAAAUGGCCAUGUUGCCCAAUGUGAUAUCAUUUUCCUGACAACAACAACAAUAUACCCAGUGUAAUCUCACAAGUGGGGCCUGGGGAUGGUAGUGUGUAAUGUGUAUGCAGUAUUACCCCUAUCUUAUGAAGUUAAAGAGGUUGUUUCCGAUA